This 31-nucleotide non-coding RNA is filed under the name unclassified sequences. Its description in RNAcentral is "L31-Firmicutes ribosomal protein leader". It matches the Rfam family "L31-Firmicutes ribosomal protein leader". The record is from RNAcentral.
CUAUGAUUAAUAUUAAUCAUGGCGGAAGGAG